GUCUCUGUGGCACAAUCGGUUAGAGCGUUCGGCUGUUAAUCUAAAGGUUGGUGGCUAGAACCCACUGAGGGACG
Molecule: transfer RNA, 74 nt
Organism: Homo sapiens (human)
Lineage: Eukaryota; Metazoa; Chordata; Mammalia; Primates; Hominidae
Rfam family: tRNA
About the family: Transfer RNA (tRNA) molecules are approximately 80 nucleotides in length. Their secondary structure includes four short double-helical elements and three loops (D, anti-codon, and T loops).
Source: Rfam